Molecule: small nuclear RNA, 167 nt
Organism: Phyllostomus discolor (pale spear-nosed bat)
Lineage: Eukaryota; Metazoa; Chordata; Mammalia; Chiroptera; Phyllostomidae
Product: U1 spliceosomal RNA
Exons: 1
Source: RefSeq, a predicted model, not a curated record
AUACUUUCCUGGCAGGGAUGAUGAUACCAUGACCAUGAAGGUGGUUUUCCCAAGAUGAGGCUUAUCCAUUGCACUCCAGAUGUGCUGACCCCUGUGAUUUCCCCAAAUGUGGGAACCUCGAUUACAUAGUUUGUGGUAGUGGGGAACUGCCUUUGUGCUCUCUCCUG